AUGUCUUCAACCUCGAAGCCCAACCUUCCGUGGGUGGUGGUCUCCUCUGUGUCCUUCCUCUUUGCCAUUUUCGAUAUCACCAGUCGUUCCAAUGGUACUAUCAAUCGCCACCUCCUCUCACUCCUUGACUGGAAAAUUCCUCCUAACCCUAACUCCAAAUCCAUCAACGAUAUAUCUUCCUCUGAAAUCGUGGUAAACUCCACACAGAAUCUCUGGUUUUGUCUCUUCAUACCUUCCUCUGCUUAUGCCUCCACAAUCUCAUCCCUCCCAGUUAUCAUAUUCUUCCACGGAGGCAGCUUCGCUUACAUGUCUCCUUCUUCUAUCCCAUACCAUUUUCUUUGCCGAUUAUUUUGUUGUUCUUUUCCCGCCAUUGUAGUCUUUGUCAAUUAA
Molecule: non-coding RNA, 390 nt
Organism: Vicia faba (fava bean)
Lineage: Eukaryota; Viridiplantae; Streptophyta; Magnoliopsida; Fabales; Fabaceae
Source: the annotation of a GenBank genome assembly